RNAcentral lists this ribosomal RNA (1326 nucleotides) under fungal sp. 41 SAB-2015. RNAcentral's name for it is "eukaryotic LSU rRNA". Lineage: Eukaryota; Fungi. The record is from RNAcentral.
GUGACCUGCAGAUGGAUCAUUUCGAUGAAAACCUUUUUUCUGAGGUGUGGCUCGCACCUGUCUAACUAAACUUGAGCUACCCAAUUUUCAACACGGUUGCAUCGGUUAGCUGUCAAACAGUGCGGAAACGCGUUGUGCGACGGUUGACACAAACACAAACACUUUUGAUGAUCUAGGAUUUGAAUGAAAGUUCAUUUUUAUGAUGGAACCGACUGGUAAUGCGGUCGUCUAAAUCUAAAAAACAACUUUUGGCAACGGAUCUCUUGGUUCUCCCAUCGAUGAAGAACGCAGCGAAUUGCGAUAAGUAAUGUGAAUUGCAGAAGUGAAUCAUCGAAUCUUUGAACGCACCUUGCGCUCCCGGCAGAUCUAAUCUGGGGAGCAUGCCUGUUUGAGGGCCGCGAAUUGUUUCGAACGACAGCUUUUUUCUUGUAGAAGAGUUGGCGGAUCGGUAGUGAGGGUCUUUGCCAUUUACCGUGGCUCCCUCGAAAUACAUUAGCGCAUCCAUUUAUUAGGCAAGACGGACGAAAGCUCGAUUUUCGCCCCCUCUUCCCUGCCGGGUUUUGAUAAUAUCAGGACUUCGGAGAGCGGAGAGAAGGGUGAGAGCUGGACGCGACGUUUUGCUGGUUGGAGUGCUUCUGAACCCCGCCCAUGCCUUUCGCAAGAAAGGAAGGGAUUUUUCAAUUCAUCGGCCUCAGAUUGGUAGGACUACCCGCUGAACUUAAGCAUAUCAAUAAGCGGAGGAAAAGAAACUAACAAGGAUUCCCCUAGUAACGGCGAGUGAAGAGGGAAGAGCCCAAGAUUGAAAGCUGGCGUCUUCGGCGUCCGCAUUGUAAUCUCAAGAAGUGUUUUCCGCUUCGGACCAUGCCUAAGUCCCUUGGAAAAGGGCAUCAUAGAGGGUGAUAAUYCCGUACAUGGCAUGGAGCGCCCGAAGCUUUGUGAUACGCUUUCUAAGAGUCGAGUUGUUUGGGAAUGCAGCUCAAAAUGGGUGGUAAAUGCCAUCUAAGGCUAAAUAUUGGGGAGAGACCGAUAGCGAACAAGUACAGUGAUGGAAAGAUGAAAAGAACUUUGAAAAGAGAGUUAAACAGUACGUGAAAUUGCCAAAAGGGAAGGGUAGGAGGUCAGAGAUGCGGCCUGGGAUUCAGCCUUGCUUUUGCUUGGUGUUUUUCCUAGAUUGCAGGCCAACGUCGGUUUUGGGCACUGGAGAAGGGUAGGAGGAACGUGGCACCUCUCGGGGUGUGUUAUAGCCUCCUACUGGAUACAGCGACCGAGACCGAGGACAGCAGCGUACUCGCAAGAGCGGGCCUUCGGGCACCUUACGCUAGGGCG